GACGUAGGGGGCGAGCGUUGUCCGGAUUUAUUGGGCGUAAAGCGUGCGUAGGCGGCUGCGCAAGUCGGGUGUGAAGCCCCGGGGCUCAACCCCGGAACUGCAUCCGAUACUGCGUGGCUAGAGGUAGGUAGGGGAGAUCGGAAUUCCUGGUGUAGCGGUGAAAUGCGCAGAUAUCAGGAGGAACACCGGUGGCGAAGGCGGAUCUCUGGGCCUUACCUGACGCUCAGGCACGAAAGCUAGGGGAGCGAACAGG
Molecule: ribosomal RNA, 253 nt
Filed under: uncultured bacterium
Lineage: Bacteria
Description: partial 16S ribosomal RNA
Rfam family: Bacterial small subunit ribosomal RNA
Source: RNAcentral